AUUGAACGCUGGCGGCAUGCCUUACACAUGCAAGUCGAACGGCAGCACGGGUGCUUGCACCUGGUGGCGAGUGGCGAACGGGUGAGUAAUACAUCGGAACGUACCUUAUCGUGGGGGAUAACGCAGCGAAAGCUGUGCUAAUACCGCAUACGCCCUGAGGGGGAAAGCGGGGGAUCACAAGACCUCGCGCGAUUAGAGCGGCCGAUGCCUGAUUAGCUUGUUGGUGGGGUAAAAGCCCACCAAGGCGACGGUCAGUAGCUGGUCUGAGAGGACGAUCAGCCACACUGGGACGGAGACACGGCCCAGACUCCUACGGGAGGCAGAAGGGGGAAAUUUUGGACAAUGGGGGCAACCCUGAUCCAGCAAUGCCGCGUGAGUGAAGAAGGCCUUCGGGUUGUAAAGCUCUUUUGUCAGGGAAGAAACACCGGCUCUAACACAGUCCGGGAAUGACGGUACCUGAAGAAUAAGCACCGGCUAACUACGUGCCAGCCGCCGCAGUAA
RNAcentral lists this ribosomal RNA (501 nucleotides) under uncultured bacterium. RNAcentral describes it as "partial 16S ribosomal RNA". It matches the Rfam family "Bacterial small subunit ribosomal RNA", at positions 29 to 523 of the family's 1533-position model. The record is from RNAcentral.